This 611-nucleotide long non-coding RNA is filed under the name Monodelphis domestica (gray short-tailed opossum). RNAcentral's name for it is "lncRNA (ENSMODG00000034695.2)". The record is from RNAcentral. Lineage: Eukaryota; Metazoa; Chordata; Mammalia; Didelphimorphia; Didelphidae.
UGGAAGAUGGAGUGUCCUUUGGGAGUUGGCCUCAGUUUCCUCUUCAGUCAAAUGAGCUAGAGAAGGAAAUGGCAAACCAUUCCAGUAUCUUUGUCAGGAAAACACCGAAUGGGGUCAUGAAGAGUCAGAUAUGACUGAACAACAAAUUUCUGCCUCCUUAUCUGGUCAUUUUGUUUCUGUUUUACAUUGCCUGCUAGGAAAAUAAGUCAUUCUUGACUAUUCCUUAAAGCAUCAUCUGAACUUCGGAGGACCUUCCGAGGAGGUUUGAUGGAUAGUGCUGAACUUGGAGAGAGGAAGGUAUAAAUCCAGAUCCUGCAUCAGACAUUCACUAGCUGUGUGACCCUAGGUCAGUCCUACUCUUUUCCGGACCCUAAUCUUCUCUGCCUGCUGAUGUCAUCAGAUGAAAUGGACUUUCUUGGAGUAAGUGCAGCUUUUCAGAGAAGGAGACCUCUUCAGAACUAAUCUCUCCAGAAGCCAGGAAGGGAAGGCCAGCUACUCACUCACUCACGAUGAAGUCCAAAGGAGAAGAUUCAGGAGCAGUCCUUCAAGAAGCAGUCCAAGAACCAAGGUCCCAAGUUGAAGCUGGGGUCCAAGUCCAAAGCCACCUCUAA